GACGAACGCUGGCGGCGUGCUUAACACAUGCAAGUCGAACGGAAAGGCCCUGCUUUUGUGGGGUGCUCGAGUGACGAACGGGUGAGUAACACGUGAGUAACCUGCCCCUGACUUUGGGAUAACUUCAGGAAACUGGGUCUAAUCCCGGAUAGGAGCUCCUGCUGCAUGGUGGGGGUUGGAAAGUUUCGGCGGUUGGGGAUGGACUCGCGGCCUAUCGGCUUGUUGGUUUGGUAGUGUCUUACCAAGGCUUUGACCGGUAGCCGGCCUGAGAGGGUGACCUGCUCAAUCAGGACUGAGAUGCGACACAGCCUACAACGGGAGGCAACGGUGGGGAAGAUUGCACAGUGGGCUGAGGCCUGAUGCAGCAAAGCCACGUGCGGGAUGACGGCAUUCGGGUUGUAUACCGCUUUCGCCUGUCACGAGGCGUGAGUGACGGUAAUGGGUAAAGAAGCACCGGCUAACUACGUG
Molecule: ribosomal RNA, 468 nt
Filed under: uncultured bacterium
Lineage: Bacteria
Description: partial 16S ribosomal RNA
Rfam family: Bacterial small subunit ribosomal RNA
Source: RNAcentral